GACAUCCUGCUAAGGAAACAAGAAUAGUCCUCAGGUUUCUGCCUUCUGCAUAACUGGCUUACCAAGCAAAAAGACGUCGCAUGUCAAAGUCUACUGCCCUUAUGAGUGAGAGUGACGAGACUGCGAGCGUUGUUGGUGCCAGGCAGGAGCCGUCCAUCUGGGAGCAGAACAGCUGCUACUAUCACUGAGAUAAGUAUCUGUUUUGCUGAGGGUUCUGCUCACGGCCCACCUGGCUACAGGUAGAGACACCCCGUUAGGUGGGGUGGGUUUGUAAGAAAAGGUUCCUGACUAGCUGUGGUUUUGAGGGAGACAGUCCCCAUUUUCAGGGGCUGAUGAUUUCUCUGGCCAGGAUCGGUGUGUCCUCGGCAGGAGAACGUUAGAUCCAUGAGGGAUGACUCCAGGUGGUGAGUUGCUUGCCUUCCUCCUCUGUUACUCUCUGUCUUCUCUACUCUACUCUACUAUGUUGGCCAACACACACUCUCUCUCUCUCUCUCUCUCUCUCUCUCUCUCUCUUUCUCUCUCUCUCUCUCUCUCUCUCUUGGCUGUCUCCCUUCAUAGGGCACGGGCAGGAGUGUUACGUGUGCAUCCCCUCAGGCUAGGUCUCGGGAGCUAUGAACAAGUAGGAGGGGACGGAAAUCAUGCAUCGUAGUGGGUGCUAGAGUGGAGGGGUGACUGUGGAUGUUGACUGUCUCACUUCAAGUGGGCCUGAUGUAGAUAGGCAGGGAUGAGGGCAAGAUUACCUGCACCAAUUGAAUUUUGUGUAGUGAUGGCUCAUGCUUCGCUCAUUUCCUGCGCUUGCAGAGGAAUUGUCCAGGAGCAGCAGCUGAAGGAGAAAGUGGCAGACGCGGACCUGAGGAGCCUGGACAUCCUUCUAAGCAGACAUGAAUGGUCCUCAGAUUUCUGCCCUUAUCUGUACUGGCUCUGGUUUUUUUUCAGAGGCUCUGAAUUUCGUCAUUGGACACGGUGCUCUGUGGGAUUCAGACGAGGCAAAGGCACAAGUCUCCUGUGCAGAUGCUGGGUUUAGUACCAAGAGUCCACUCAGCACAUGCCAUGGAAAGGGAGCGAGAGCUGGGAGAUUCUAAGCAUUGUUGAUGCCAGGGAAGAACCAUCCAGCUGGGAGUGGAGCAAGGACCACUGUCAGUGAGAUAAGUGUCUUGUUAGGUGAAGGCUCUGCUGUGGUUACGAGGGAGACAAGGUCCCUAUUUUCAGGGGCUGCUCAGUCCUCUGGCCAGUACCGGUGAGUCCUCUGCAGCGGAAGGUUGGAUCCAGGAGGACGAUUCCAGAUAGUGAGUUACUUGCCUUUCUCCUGUGUUUCUCUCUCUCUCUCUCUCCCUUCUCUAGUAUGUUGGCCAACACUCUUUCUCUCUCUGUCUUUGUCCUUGCCUCUCCUUUGUCGUCUCCCUUCAUAGAACAGGGGCAGGAGUGCUAGGUGUGCAUCCCCACAGGCUUGGUCUCGGGAGCUAUUAACAAGUAGGAGGGGAUGAAAAUCAUGCAGGAUAGUGGGCGCUAGAGAGGGGCAGUGUCUGUGGAUGUUGACUCAGUCUCUGUUCAUUGAGUCCGGCGGAUAUAGAUGGAAUGGGAGAGGGAGGCAGGGAUGAGGACAUUCAUAGAGCUCGGUGUAGUGAUGGUCCUUGCUUGGCUUUAUUAGUUUGCAGAGGAAUUGUCCAGGAGCCCUCGCUGGAGGAGAAUAUGCAGAAGUGGAUCUGAGAAGCCUGGACAUCCUUCUAAGGAGACAUGAAUUGUCCUCGGGUUUCUGCAUAACUGGCUGUUCCUCAUCUGUACUUGCUGUAGUUUUCUUCAUAGGCCGUGUGUUUCCUCCUUGGGUACAGGGCUCUGUGGCUGGGGAGGGGCCAGAAUCUGCUCAGCAGAGUGACUAUGUUGGGUGCCAUUAAGAGGGCCAAUGCAGAGAGGAGAAAAGGGGCCUGAACCCUGAUUACAGGGUGGUCACCCUUUCUUUAGUAAAAUACUCCUCCUUUAAACUCGGUGUGGGUGGGGCGGAAAGUCCCCAAUGUGAAAAGAUCUGGAAAUGAACAGGUGAGGGAGGGAUCCUGCUGAGUGUCUCCUUUCCGAUCAAUCCUCCAUCUCUCAGCGACACCCUUCCGGACUUACCUUCCUACCUCACCAAGAAAAUAACUUAGUGCUCCCUAACCUUUACCAGAAAAGACCCCUCUUCCUUGUGACGCAGUCCUGUUAGUAGGGUUAGGUGCACCCACAUGCUGGCUCUGAAUACCACCGCAUGUGAUUACAACACCUGAACAUCAACACAUUUCAGAAAGGACCGCCACAUCAAUCCCUUCGGACGUAGCCCUAGGAAUCUCCUCUGUCUAUUUCCAAAGAGACAGACACAAGGCCUGGAAUUUGGACACAGCUCAGGGAACUGUCCGAAUGUCUACAGUUGAGCACUCAUCAGUGCGAUGGUGUCUUUCUUGUACACAAGAAAACAAAGGGUCAAAGUUGUGGUUGGUUGAGCGGUGUAAAUUGGGCAGGGCAAAAGGACUUGAGGAAGGAUGAGGUGGAAGUGAGGGUCUGAAAGGAGCCCGGCACCUCACCUGUUCAUUUCCAAACGGUGUGACAUUUGCAUGGUUGGGCCAUUUCUUGGCUUUUUUGAGAAAAGGGGCGAAUUUUCCACGGCCUCCACCAUCCCCUUACAGCUGCCCCUUCGCCACACCAUGUUGCAUCUGACCUGGAUAGGUCGCAAGUAAGAUUUCACUUCAAAUCUCAAAAAAGUCCAGUAGAAAUAAUUGUGGGGGAAUUUCCUGUCACUAAGAGAAAUGGAAGCUCAAGCCUUCUCAAGGGGUGGAGUGUCGCUCAGCCACAGGCACAAAAAGGCUCCCCUAGUUUAAGCGUUGGAGGUUUACACCCUGGUUACAGGGCAGUCUUUUGCCGGGCGUGUCAAAAUGACCUGUGGUUUAAUUUGCUUGGCAAAGGAGACCCAAACCUUCCUUACAGGGUGGUCCUUAAGGCAGGGGCAUUCGAAUGGGGCAGAGCGAAAAGCGCCGUAAAGGAGAGACCUCUGUUCCCUCAGGAGAGCGUGGUCUCAUUGCCCAGCAAGUGCCAGCGGCCCAAGAGGAGCCCUGCACCCUUCUCACAGGGAUUGGUCAGUGGCAAAGAGCGUUUUAAGGUCUAGGUCCUAAGGAGGUCAAAGCCACAGAGACCUUGUGGUGAUCUGCGUGUAAUGUAAUAUCUCACUAUAAGGUGACGAGGCCAGCAAGAGUUAAUUAACUCACAAACUGACCUUGACCCAUGGCCGAACUUUAAAGACUGGUUACGAAGAUCUGUAACGGAAUAGAGGUUUGAAAUGCAGCCUGUAUUGUUAGAGAUAGAAGGGUAAGUGUUACCUCAGGUCUUGUCUAUUGCUAUAGCUGUGAUUCAAAGAUCAAAAAAGCAAUAUUAACAUUUAGGAAGACACUGGAGUGAAAUAGCGUUAUUGUCUAUAUCGGGGACGGCAACCUUUCACAAGUGGUGUGCCGAGUCUUCAUUUAUUCACUCUAAGGUUUCGCGUGCCAGUAAUAAAUUUUAAUGUUUUU
Long non-coding RNA from Mauremys mutica (yellowpond turtle), 3527 nucleotides. RefSeq lists it as uncharacterized. The transcript is spliced from 3 exons. The record is from RefSeq and is a predicted model, not a curated record. Lineage: Eukaryota; Metazoa; Chordata; Testudines; Geoemydidae.